Molecule: ribosomal RNA, 453 nt
Filed under: uncultured Streptococcus sp.
Lineage: Bacteria; Bacillati; Bacillota; Bacilli; Lactobacillales; Streptococcaceae
Description: bacterial SSU rRNA
Rfam family: Bacterial small subunit ribosomal RNA
Source: RNAcentral
CGGUGGAGCAUGUGGUUUAAUCGAAGCAACGACGAAGAACCUUAACCUAGGUCUUGACAUCCCGAUGCUAUUUCUAGAGAUAGAAAGUUACUUCGGUACAUCGGUGACAGGUGGUGCAUGGUUGUCGUCAGCUCGUGUCGUGAGAUGUUGGGUUAAGUCCCGCAACGAGCGCAACCCCUAUUGUUAGUUGCCAUCAUUCAGUUGGGCACUCUAGCGAGACUGCCGGUAAUAAACCGGAGGAAGGUGGGAUGACGUCAAAUCAUCAUGCCCCUUAUGACCUGGGCUACACACGUGCUACAAUGGUUGGUACAACGAGUUGCGAGUCGGUGACGGCGAGCUAAUCUCUUAAAGCCAAUCUCAGUUCGGAUCGAAGUCUGCAACUCGACUUCGUGAAGCUGGAUUCGCUAGUAAUCGCGCAUCAGCUAUGGCGCGGUGAAUACGUUCCCGGGCCUU